CAUUCACGGAGAGUUUGAUCCUGGCUCAGGACGAACGCUGGCGGCGUGCUUAACACAUGCAAGUCGAACGAUGAAGCCCUUCGGGGUGGAUUAGUGGCGAACGGGUGAGUAACACGUGGGCAAUCUGCCCUUCACUCUGGGACAAGCCCUGGAAACGGGGUCUAAUACCGGAUACGACCUGCCG
RNAcentral lists this ribosomal RNA (184 nucleotides) under Streptomyces showdoensis. Its description in RNAcentral is "partial 16S ribosomal RNA". It matches the Rfam family "Bacterial small subunit ribosomal RNA", at positions 1 to 185 of the family's 1533-position model. The record is from RNAcentral. Lineage: Bacteria; Bacillati; Actinomycetota; Actinomycetes; Kitasatosporales; Streptomycetaceae.